Long non-coding RNA from Cynoglossus semilaevis (tongue sole), 889 nucleotides. RefSeq lists it as uncharacterized. NCBI's taxonomy places the organism in Eukaryota, Metazoa, Chordata, Actinopteri, Pleuronectiformes, Cynoglossidae. The transcript has 5 exons. The record is from RefSeq and is a predicted model, not a curated record.
GUAUGAACCACUACGACCCAUCGUCUGUUUGUCUCAACUCGUGCCUGCAUCAAUCCUGUUGUUGCAGCUCCGUCUGCUCCUCCGUCCUGACUAAGACUUCAGAUCAAAGUCACCAAGAAGUUGACUCAGAGAUGAGUAACUCCACACCUCCUGGUGGCCCCGCCCCCUACUUUAGGAAACACUGAUAUAAAGCAUCUCUGGAAAACUACUUAGAGGAGCAGCAGCUCGAGGUGUUCCAGUGGAUUCCAGAGACCCAGUUUAAUUUAUUCAUCAGUUCCCUUCACCUUCAUCUGGUCACCACUGCGCCUCUACGGCCACAUUAUUCUGAUUAUCUCACAACAACAGACCAUAAAGUCAGAGUGGACCCACGGAGACCACCCCACGACUCAGGCCAUAAAAUCCCAGCUCACCGUUCGCUCUUUGUUCUCGAACACCUCAUUGGCUUCUUCAAAACUGCAGCUCUCCUCGACACACUCCCGUUCGAUGUUCCCCUGUCGCAGCUCCUCCAUGUAGCCAUUGGCUCGAGGGAAUCGUUUCAGGAGGGAGUGAGCAUCCUUAAAAGUCAGGAAUGCUGCAACACAGGAAUGAACUCGUCAAUCACCUGGACUCACACACACAAAACCCCACUUUAAAGUUGUGUGUUUCCCUCACCUACAGCCAUGCUUCUUCCCUGUUAUUCACACACUGACCAGGAACGAACCUGCAGCAUCAAAACAACACAUUCAUUACUUUCAAUCCAUGGCUCCAAGAUUUGACCAGGCUACGCUAGUGCUUCCUACCCCAGUUACAAAUGAGAGGAAAACAGGAAAAUGUAGCUCAGGCCUGGUGUCUCUGCUGAGGAGGAAACCCUUCAUAAAUGACAUUCGUGAGCUUCCUCGUCACUGCUGAA